AUCUCUGAUUAACAGCCAGAAAUAGGCUAAGGUAACAGAUGCUCAAAUCUCAGCAUCUUAGCCCAACCCAGUUCAUUUCUCACUGAAACUACAUGUCCAGUGGGACUGAGGAAGAUGCCACCAUUUUAUAGCUUCAGCAUCUGUUACACAUCGCCUCCAAGUCUAUUAUAGCAAGAAAGAGAGCGUCGUGGAAAGAAGGGUACCUGAUGUAAUCUAAUGCUGUGCACACAGUUGACAACUGACCAAUGUCGUCAACAGCAGCAACUGUAUCAGCUUGUCUCAUACAACCUAUAAGUCUCUCAAACUGCAAAUGAACAGAGAGAGAGAAAGAGAGAGAGAGAAAGGCAUUUUCUGUCUGAAAUGAAUUGACCAACCAUGAAAAAUAGCUAAAACAGGACCUGCUCCUGGAAGGUGUGUUGAGAGGACUUUCUUCAGGGCAAGGACAUUAUUGUAGGCACGAGGCAAGCUGUUCACUCAGCCGUUGCUGUCCGUUCCUGGUCCCGGGAAGUCAUCUGGAGGAGCAUGCAGUGAUGCUUCCAAUGUUUGUCAAGGUAUCAUAAUGGCCCACUUUUUAAAAAUCCAAGAAGCCUUUGGGCAUUAUCUGGGACUUAGACAAAGAAGGUAAAAAGAAGCUUAACCAGGACCUGACAGUGGCCCCCAGUUACUGAGAGUAGCCCGCAGCCAACAACCAUCAAGAGAUGGAGGUCUCAGUCCAGAAAUUUCAGGAAACUGAAUUCUUCCAACAACCUGGAAGAGGAUUGCAAAUUACAGAUGAGAACACAGCUCCAGAGGAUACUUUGCUGCUAGCCUGACCUGUCAUCUCUCCCUGGGAUCAGAUUCUUACAGAAUUUUUGGAGAGCCCAAGAAGAUAAUAAUGGACUGGAGACCAAAGGAUGUAGGACCUACCAUGUGGGAAGCACCUGAAAUAGUGAAGUCUGUGUUUAAGAUCUUGAUUCCUGUUUCACUGAGAAGAUUGAUUCAACCAGAAGAGAAUUUCAACUCCUACCACCACAUCAACUAUCCAUCUGCAUCAACCUUCUAUUACUUGAAGUGCCUGUGCUCUGAGAAAAGGCCAACCCCUAUAAGGCAGGUUGACCCUCUGAAUUAAAUUGUCUCCAGCCUUAUCCCUGCAUGGUCCUAUCCUUCUGAAUCCUCACCAUACAUUAUGACUAGUUUUG
This is a long non-coding RNA of Canis lupus familiaris (dog), 1178 nucleotides long. RefSeq lists it as uncharacterized. NCBI's taxonomy places the organism in Eukaryota, Metazoa, Chordata, Mammalia, Carnivora, Canidae. The record is from RefSeq and is a predicted model, not a curated record. The transcript is spliced from 8 exons.